GACGAACGCUGGCGGCGUGCCUAAUACAUGCAAGUCGAGCGGACGAAUCGAAAGCUUGCUUUUGAUUCGUUAGCGGCGGACGGGUGAGUAACACGUGGGCAACCUGCCCUGUAGACGGGGAUAACACCGGGAAAUCGGUGCUAAUACCGGAUAACACGAAAUGUCGCAUGACGUUUCGUUGAAAGACGGCGCAAGCUGUCGCUACAGGAUGGGCCCGCGGCGCAUUAGCUAGUUGGUGAGGUAACGGCUCACCAAGGCGACGAUGCGUAGCCGACCUGGGAGGGUGAUCGGCCACACUGGGACUGAGACACGGCCCAGACUCCUACGGGAGGCAGCAGUAGGGAAUCUUCCGCAAUGGACGAAAGUCUGACGGAGCAACGCCGCGUGAGCGAAGAGGGCCUUCGGGUCGUAAUGCUCUGUUGUUAGGGAAGAACAAGUAACGCAGUAACUGGCGUUACCGUGACGGUACCUAACGAGAAAGCCACGGCUAACUACGUGCCAGCCGCCGCGGUAA
This 514-nucleotide ribosomal RNA is filed under the name uncultured bacterium. RNAcentral's name for it is "partial 16S ribosomal RNA". It matches the Rfam family "Bacterial small subunit ribosomal RNA", at positions 28 to 523 of the family's 1533-position model. The record is from RNAcentral.